Molecule: ribosomal RNA, 223 nt
Filed under: uncultured bacterium
Lineage: Bacteria
Description: partial 16S ribosomal RNA
Rfam family: Bacterial small subunit ribosomal RNA
Source: RNAcentral
ACGCUCGACACCUACGGGAGGGAGCAGUAGGGAAUCUUCCACAAUGGGCGCAAGCCUGAUGGAGCAACACCGCGUGAGUGAAGAAGGGUUUCGGCUCGUAAAGCUCUGUUGUUGGAGAAGAACGUGCGUGAGAGUAACUGUUCACGCAGUGACGGUAUCCAACCAGAAAGUCACGGCUAACUACGUGCCGGCAGCCGCGGUAAUCUGAGCGGGCUGGCAAGGC